RNAcentral lists this ribosomal RNA (481 nucleotides) under uncultured Pelotomaculum sp. RNAcentral's name for it is "bacterial SSU rRNA". It matches the Rfam family "Bacterial small subunit ribosomal RNA", at positions 902 to 1382 of the family's 1533-position model. Lineage: Bacteria; Bacillati; Bacillota; Clostridia; Eubacteriales; Desulfotomaculaceae. The record is from RNAcentral.
CAAAUGAAUUGACGGGGCCCGCACAAGCGGUGGAGCAUGUGGUUUAAUUCGACGCAACGCGAAGAACCUUACCAGGCUUGACAUCCCCUGACCGCGUAUGAAAGUACGUUUUCACCCUCGGGUGACAGGGAGACAGGUGGUGCAUGGUUGUCGUCAGCUCGUGUCGUGAGAUGUUGGGUUAAGUCCCGCAACGAGCGCAACCCCUACGUUUAGUUGCUAACGCGUGAAGGCGAGCACUCUAGACGAACUGCCGUUGACAAAACGGAGGAAGGUGGGGAUGACGUCAAAUCAUCAUGCCCCUUAUGUUCUGGGCUACACACGUGCUACAAUGGCCGGUACAGACGGACGCAAAGCCGCGAGGUGGAGCAAAUCCUAAAAAGCCGGUCUCAGUUCGGAUUGCAGGCUGCAAUUCGCCUGCAUGAAGUCGGAAUCGCUAGUAAUCGCAGGUCAGCAUACUGCGGUGAAUACGUUCCCGGGCCUU